This 2856-nucleotide ribosomal RNA is filed under the name Staphylococcus aureus. Its description in RNAcentral is "23S ribosomal RNA". It matches the Rfam family "Bacterial large subunit ribosomal RNA". The record is from RNAcentral. Lineage: Bacteria; Bacillati; Bacillota; Bacilli; Caryophanales; Staphylococcaceae.
GAUUAAGUUAUUAAGGGCGCACGGUGGAUGCCUUGGCACUAGAAGCCGAUGAAGGACGUUACUAACGACGAUAUGCUUUGGGGAGCUGUAAGUAAGCUUUGAUCCAGAGAUUUCCGAAUGGGGAAACCCAGCAUGAGUUAUGUCAUGUUAUCGAUAUGUGAAUACAUAGCAUAUCAGAAGGCACACCCGGAGAACUGAAACAUCUUAGUACCCGGAGGAAGAGAAAGAAAAUUCGAUUCCCUUAGUAGCGGCGAGCGAAACGGGAAGAGCCCAAACCAACAAGCUUGCUUGUUGGGGUUGUAGGACACUCUAUACGGAGUUACAAAGGACGACAUUAGACGAAUCAUCUGGAAAGAUGAAUCAAAGAAGGUAAUAAUCCUGUAGUCGAAAAUGUUGUCUCUCUUGAGUGGAUCCUGAGUACGACGGAGCACGUGAAAUUCCGUCGGAAUCUGGGAGGACCAUCUCCUAAGGCUAAAUACUCUCUAGUGACCGAUAGUGAACCAGUACCGUGAGGGAAAGGUGAAAAGCACCCCGGAAGGGGAGUGAAAUAGAACCUGAAACCGUGUGCUUACAAGUAGUCAGAGCCCGUUAAUGGGUGAUGGCGUGCCUUUUGUAGAAUGAACCGGCGAGUUACGAUUUGAUGCAAGGUUAAGCAGUAAAUGUGGAGCCGUAGCGAAAGCGAGUCUGAAUAGGGCGUUUAGUAUUUGGUCGUAGACCCGAAACCAGGUGAUCUACCCUUGGUCAGGUUGAAGUUCAGGUAACACUGAAUGGAGGACCGAACCGACUUACGUUGAAAAGUGAGCGGAUGAACUGAGGGUAGCGGAGAAAUUCCAAUCGAACCUGGAGAUAGCUGGUUCUCUCCGAAAUAGCUUUAGGGCUAGCCUCAAGUGAUGAUUAUUGGAGGUAGAGCACUGUUUGGACGAGGGGCCCCUCUCGGGUUACCGAAUUCAGACAAACUCCGAAUGCCAAUUAAUUUAACUUGGGAGUCAGAACAUGGGUGAUAAGGUCCGUGUUCGAAAGGGAAACAGCCCAGACCACCAGCUAAGGUCCCAAAAUAUAUGUUAAGUGGAAAAGGAUGUGGCGUUGCCCAGACAACUAGGAUGUUGGCUUAGAAGCAGCCAUCAUUUAAAGAGUGCGUAAUAGCUCACUAGUCGAGUGACACUGCGCCGAAAAUGUACCGGGGCUAAACAUAUUACCGAAGCUGUGGAUUGUCCUUUGGACAAUGGUAGGAGAGCGUUCUAAGGGCGUUGAAGCAUGAUCGUAAGGACAUGUGGAGCGCUUAGAAGUGAGAAUGCCGGUGUGAGUAGCGAAAGACGGGUGAGAAUCCCGUCCACCGAUUGACUAAGGUUUCCAGAGGAAGGCUCGUCCGCUCUGGGUUAGUCGGGUCCUAAGCUGAGGCCGACAGGCGUAGGCGAUGGAUAACAGGUUGAUAUUCCUGUACCACCUAUAAUCGUUUUAAUCGAUGGGGGGACGCAGUAGGAUAGGCGAAGCGUGCGAUUGGAUUGCACGUCUAAGCAGUAAGGCUGAGUAUUAGGCAAAUCCGGUACUCGUUAAGGCUGAGCUGUGAUGGGGAGAAGACAUUGUNNNNNNNNNNNNNNNNNNNNNNNNNNNNNNNNNNNNNNNNNNNNNNNNNNNNNNNNNNNNNNNNNNNNNNNNNNNNNNNNNNNNNNNNNNNNNNNNNNNGCUCUUUAGGGUUAACGCCCAGAAGAGCCGCAGUGAAUAGGCCCAAGCGACUGUUUAUCAAAAACACAGGUCUCUGCUAAACCGUAAGGUGAUGUAUAGGGGCUGACGCCUGCCCGGUGCUGGAAGGUUAAGAGGAGUGGUUAGCUUCUGCGAAGCUACGAAUCGAAGCCCCAGUAAACGGCGGCCGUAACUAUAACGGUCCUAAGGUAGCGAAAUUCCUUGUCGGGUAAGUUCCGACCCGCACGAAAGGCGUAACGAUUUGGGCACUGUCUCAACGAGAGACUCGGUGAAAUCAUAGUACCUGUGAAGAUGCAGGUUACCCGCGACAGGACGGAAAGACCCCGUGGAGCUUUACUGUAGCCUGAUAUUGAAAUUCGGCACAGCUUGUACAGGAUAGGUAGGAGCCUUUGAAACGUGAGCGCUAGCUUACGUGGAGGCGCUGGUGGGAUACUACCCUAGCUGUGUUGGCUUUCUAACCCGCACCACUUAUCGUGGUGGGAGACAGUGUCAGGCGGGCAGUUUGACUGGGGCGGUCGCCUCCUAAAAGGUAACGGAGGCGCUCAAAGGUUCCCUCAGAAUGGUUGGAAAUCAUUCAUAGAGUGUAAAGGCAUAAGGGAGCUUGACUGCGAGACCUACAAGUCGAGCAGGGUCGAAAGACGGACUUAGUGAUCCGGUGGUUCCGCAUGGAAGGGCCAUCGCUCAACGGAUAAAAGCUACCCCGGGGAUAACAGGCUUAUCUCCCCCAAGAGUUCACAUCGACGGGGAGGUUUGGCACCUCGAUGUCGGCUCAUCGCAUCCUGGGGCUGUAGUCGGUCCCAAGGGUUGGGCUGUUCGCCCAUUAAAGCGGUACGCGAGCUGGGUUCAGAACGUCGUGAGACAGUUCGGUCCCUAUCCGUCGUGGGCGUAGGAAAUUUGAGAGGAGCUGUCCUUAGUACGAGAGGACCGGGAUGGACAUACCUCUGGUGUACCAGUUGUCGUGCCAACGGCAUAGCUGGGUAGCUAUGUGUGGACGGGAUAAGUGCUGAAAGCAUCUAAGCAUGAAGCCCCCCUCAAGAUGAGAUUUCCCAACUUCGGUUAUAAGAUCCCUCAAAGAUGAUGAGGUUAAUAGGUUCGAGGUGGAAGCAUGGUGACAUGUGGAGCUGACGAAUACUAAUCGAUCGAAGACUUAAUCAA